CUGAUCAGGCGCAUGGGCGAACGUUCGUGCAACGAGCCCCUUCUUCGUGCGGACUAAUGUCCGCGUGAAGAUGCGCCAUUGUCAG
Regulatory RNA element from Methanoregula formicica SMSP, 85 nucleotides. It matches the Rfam family "L4-Archaeoglobi ribosomal protein leades". The record is from Rfam. Lineage: Archaea; Methanobacteriati; Methanobacteriota; Methanomicrobia; Methanomicrobiales; Methanoregulaceae.